RNAcentral lists this ribosomal RNA (198 nucleotides) under uncultured Pseudomonas sp. Its description in RNAcentral is "partial 16S ribosomal RNA". It matches the Rfam family "Bacterial small subunit ribosomal RNA", at positions 314 to 507 of the family's 1533-position model. The record is from RNAcentral. Lineage: Bacteria; Pseudomonadati; Pseudomonadota; Gammaproteobacteria; Pseudomonadales; Pseudomonadaceae.
CCGCGGUAAUACUCCUACGGGCCUACGGGAGGCAGCAGUGGGGAAUAUUGGACAAUGGGCGAAAGCCUGAUCCAGCCAUGCCGCGUGUGUGAAGAAGGUCUUCGGAUUGUAAAGCACUUUAAGUUGGGAGGAAGGGUAGUAACUUAACACGUUGCUAUUUUGACGUUACCGACAGAAUAAGCACCGGCUAACUUCGUG